Molecule: long non-coding RNA, 289 nt
Filed under: Brassica rapa (field mustard)
Lineage: Eukaryota; Viridiplantae; Streptophyta; Magnoliopsida; Brassicales; Brassicaceae
Description: long non-coding RNA (BRAP_LNC005489)
Source: RNAcentral
UGAUAAUUUCUUUUUCUACGUUACAUUAGACCUGAUAUGUAUCAAAAUUUUCCCGUUUGGGAUGCAAUUUGUGUCGAAACAUUUCUUGUAUGUAAGAUUUCAUAUAACAGCUGUAACUUGUUGUUCGAAGUUGUCACGUUUUUAUGUUAGUUUUUGGAGAAGCUGUAGGCACUACCCGUGUUUGAGGUUUUGAGGGAAGCCUUGAGUGGUGAUGCUCGUGGCAACGAAGAUGAGGACUCAAGAUUUUAGAAUCUGUGGCAACAACAUAAAUGUUCGAACUUUAAGUUUG